CUGCAGCCCCAUUCACGUGGCGGUCACGGUGACCAGCGAGCGCAGAAUUCCGCUGGACCCGUGAUGGAUGGAGUUCAACGAGAUUCAAAGCCAGAACAAGGGAAGAUAAUGACCGCAGAGUGGAGAAACCUCGUAGACACCACUUUUCUCAGGGGAUCAAGAUUAACAUUGCAGGGUCAUUCAAGGGUCACAAGGAUUUAUGAGCUUGUUUCACCGAAGAAAAAGAAUGACUUCAAGGAAGUUAGGAUCACCAGAUAACCAGGCUCUAGCCGCCAGUGAACUCAUAAGUCAGAUUGCCCAAGGGCUUAUAUGGAGUGAAAGAAACAUGGAUUACCACCUUUGUUUCUCUGAAACUCCUCCUGCCAAGCCCCUUAGAUCUAUAAAAACCCCUGCUUUCUUCUCUUCUUAAGGCAGAUUUGAGGGAACCUAUCCUCCUGCCUUCUCAUUUUGGCCAAUUUGAAUAAAGCUUUCUCC
Molecule: long non-coding RNA, 474 nt
Filed under: Equus caballus (horse)
Lineage: Eukaryota; Metazoa; Chordata; Mammalia; Perissodactyla; Equidae
Description: lncRNA (ENSECAG00000056597.1)
Source: RNAcentral